CCCGGCUAGAAUCUGCUAAGAGUCAGUUUUUAGUGAAACAGCAUUGAGCUAUGAGCCAAGACCCACUUCUUCACUAAUUUGAUCUUGUGCAAGCCAUCUUACCUCUCUGGAUCUCAGUUGUCUCAUCUGUAAAAAGGAGAUAAAAAUUCUUUACCUUUCUGAAGAUGAGGUGGAGA
Molecule: non-coding RNA, 176 nt
Organism: Equus caballus (horse)
Lineage: Eukaryota; Metazoa; Chordata; Mammalia; Perissodactyla; Equidae
Source: RefSeq, a predicted model, not a curated record